RNAcentral lists this ribosomal RNA (279 nucleotides) under uncultured bacterium. Its description in RNAcentral is "partial 16S ribosomal RNA". It matches the Rfam family "Bacterial small subunit ribosomal RNA", at positions 506 to 784 of the family's 1533-position model. The record is from RNAcentral.
UGCCAGCCGCCGCGGUAAUACGGAUGGUGCAAGCGUUAUUCGGAAUCACUGGGCAUAAAGGGCACGUAGGCGGCAUUGUAAGUCAGUGGUGAAAUCCCUCGGCUCAACCGGGGAACUGCCAUUGAUACUGCAGUGCUAGAGUGUGGGAGGGGCAGACGGAAUUCCAGGUGGAGCGGUGAAAUGCGUAGAUAUCUGGAGGAACGCCAGGGGCGAAAGCGGUCUGCUGGCCCACAACUGACGCUGAGGUGCGAAAGCUAGGGGAGCAAACAGGAUUAGAUA